RNAcentral lists this ribosomal RNA (403 nucleotides) under uncultured bacterium. RNAcentral describes it as "bacterial SSU rRNA". It matches the Rfam family "Bacterial small subunit ribosomal RNA", at positions 355 to 775 of the family's 1533-position model. The record is from RNAcentral.
UGGGGAAUAUUGCACAAUGGGCGAAAGCCUGAUGCAGCAACGCCGCGUGAGUGAUGACAGUCUUCGGAUUGUAAAGCUCUGUCUUUGGGGACGAUAAUGACGGUACCCAAGGAGGAAGCCACGGCUAACUACGUGCCAGCAGCCGCGGUAAUACGUAGGUGGCAAGCGUUGUCCAGAUUUACUGGGCGUAAAGGGUGCGUAGGCGGACCUUUAAGUGAGAUGUGAAAUCCCCGAGCUUAACUUGGGGGCUGCAUUUCAAAUUGGAGGUCUAGAGUGCAGGAGAGGAGAGUGGAAUUCCUAGUGUAGCGGUGAAAUGCGUAGAGAUUAGGAAGAACACCAGUGGCGAAGGCGACUCUCUGGACUGUAACUGACGCUGAGGCACGAAAGCGUGGGGAGCAAACAG